RNAcentral lists this ribosomal RNA (450 nucleotides) under uncultured bacterium. RNAcentral's name for it is "partial 16S ribosomal RNA". It matches the Rfam family "Bacterial small subunit ribosomal RNA", at positions 354 to 796 of the family's 1533-position model. The record is from RNAcentral.
GUGGGGAAUAUUGGACAAUGGGCGAAAGCCUGAUCCAGCCAUGCCGCGUGUGUGAAGAAGGUCUUCGGAUUGUAAAGCACUUUAAGUUGGGAGGAAGGGCAGUAAGUUAAUACCUUGCUGUUUUGACGUUACCGACAGAAUAAGCACCGGCUAACUUCGUGCCAGCAGCCGCGGUAAUACGAAGGGUGCAAGCGUUAAUCGGAAUUACUGGGCGUAAAGCGCGCGUAGGUGGUUUUGUAAGUUGGAGGUGAAAUCCCCGGGCUCAACCUGGGAACUGCCUCAAAAACUGCAUGACUAGAGUACGGUAGAGGGUAGUGGAAUUUCCUGUGUAGCGGUGAAAUGCGUAGAUAUAGGAAGGAACACCAGUGGCGAAGGCGACUACCUGGACUGAUACUGACACUGAGGUGCGAAAGCGUGGGGAGCAAACAGGAUUAGAUACCCUUGUAGUCC